This 459-nucleotide ribosomal RNA is filed under the name uncultured bacterium. RNAcentral describes it as "partial 16S ribosomal RNA". It matches the Rfam family "Bacterial small subunit ribosomal RNA", at positions 338 to 795 of the family's 1533-position model. The record is from RNAcentral.
CCUACGGGAGGCAGCAGUGAGGAAUAUUGGUCAAUGGGCGCGAGCCUGAACCAGCCAAGUCGCGUGAGGGAAGACGGUCCUAUGGAUUGUAAACCUCUUUUGUCGGGGAGCAAAGGACGCCACGCGUGCCGUUCCGAGAGUACCCGAAGAAAAAGCAUCGGCUAAAUCCGUGCCAGGCGCCGCGGGUAUAAGGAGGGAUCGAGCGUUAUCCGGAUUUAUUGGGGUUAAAGGGUGCGAAGGCGGAAGAUUAAGUCAGAGGUAAAAUUGAGGGGUGAAACCCCGGCCCGCCGUUGAAACUGGGGACCGUGAGUGCGCGAGAGGUAGGCGGAAUGCGUGGUGUAGCGGUGAAAGGCAUAGAUAUCACGCAGAACUCCGAUUGCGAAGGCAGCAUACCGGCGCGCAACUGACGCUGAGGCACGAAAGCGUGGGGAUCGAACAGGAUUAGAUACCCUUGUAGUC